GACAUAGGGGGCAAGCGUUGUUCGGAAUUACUGGGCGUAAAGGGAGCGUAGGCGGGAGAUUAAGUUAAGAGUGAAAGCCUUGGGCUCAACCCAAGAAAUGCUCUUAAUACUGGUUUUCUAGAGUGUGGGAGAGGUAAGUGGAAUUCCUAGUGUAGCGGUGGAAUGCGUAGAUAUUAGGAGGAACACCAGUGGCGAAGGCGAUUUGCUGGACUGUAACUGACACUGAGGCACGAAAGCGUGGGGAGCAAACAGG
This 253-nucleotide ribosomal RNA is filed under the name uncultured bacterium. Its description in RNAcentral is "partial 16S ribosomal RNA". It matches the Rfam family "Bacterial small subunit ribosomal RNA", at positions 524 to 776 of the family's 1533-position model. The record is from RNAcentral.